GACGGACGCUGGCGGCGUGCUUAACACAUGCAAGUCGAGCGGUGAAGCGCCUUCCUUUUUGGUGGGUGUGGAUGAGUGGCGAACGGGUGAGUAACACGUGAGUAACCUGCCCCCUUCUUCUGGAUAACCGCAUGAAAGUGUGGCUAAUACGGGAUAUUCUGGGUCUGUCGCAUGAUGGGUCUGGGAAAGAUAUUGUUUCGGUGGGGGAUGGGCUCGCGGCCUAUCAGCUUGUUGGUGGGGUGAUGGCCUACCAAGGCGGUGACGGGUAGCCGGCCUGAGAGGGUGGACGGUCACACUGGGACUGAGACACGGCCCAGACUCCUACGGGAGGCAGCAGUGGGGAAUAUUGCACAAUGGGCGCAAGCCUGAUGCAGCGACGCCGCGUGCGGGAUGGAGGCCUUCGGGUGGUGAACCUCUUUCGCCAGUGAAGCAGGCCUGCCUCGUUUGUGGGUGGGUUGACGGUAGCUGGAUAAGAAGCGCCGGCUAACUACGU
RNAcentral lists this ribosomal RNA (493 nucleotides) under uncultured bacterium. RNAcentral describes it as "partial 16S ribosomal RNA". It matches the Rfam family "Bacterial small subunit ribosomal RNA", at positions 28 to 506 of the family's 1533-position model. The record is from RNAcentral.